RNAcentral lists this ribosomal RNA (290 nucleotides) under uncultured bacterium. RNAcentral's name for it is "partial 16S ribosomal RNA". It matches the Rfam family "Bacterial small subunit ribosomal RNA", at positions 773 to 1060 of the family's 1533-position model. The record is from RNAcentral.
GUGGAUUAGAUACCCUGGUAGUCCACGCUGUAAACGAUGGGCACUAGGUGUUCGGGGUAUUGACCCCCUGAGUGCCGCAGCUAACGCAUUAAGUGCCCCGCCUGGGGAAUACGGCCGCAAGGUUAAAACUCAAAGGAAUUGACGGGGGCCCGCACAAGCGGUGGAGCAUGUGGUUUAAUUCGACGCAACGCGAAGAACCUUACCUGGGCUAGACAACAUCGGACAGCCCCAGAAAUGGGGUCUCCCCGCAAGGGGCCGGUGGUUCAGGUGCUGCACGGCCGUCGUCAGCU